CACCGUUAUAGUGCAAUUACUGUAUUGUUUAGUGUUGUGUAGUGGCUUUGCUGGCAUGCACCCCACUUGUUUAUUUUUGCCCCACCAAGAUUUACAUGUUAAAAUCGCCACUGCUUAUACCUGUAUAUUGACAUCACCAUUGACUUUAUCUUGGUUGCUUGUUUGGUAGACCUCAAAUAAACGUAAUGUACAGUACAAAAAAGGAAGUCAUUUGUGUUGCUUGCCACAAAGCAGUAUCUGUUUAAUAUAUACAUUUACAAUAUGGUACAAUUUAUCUCAAUAAAAAUAAUGAGUAAAAAUAGUAUUCCAUUUGAAAUGAUCUUCUCUCGUACCCACUCCCUACCCCAGUCUGUCAUCUAUACAGAGUAUUCAGUAUGGUCAUUGUUACCGAAGAUUUUCUAAGUACUUCCUUCAAUUAAUACUUUCUCAUACAGCGUUCAAGCCAAGGCCAUAAAUUAAUUCUACAGCUAUCAAUGGUCCUAUUCAAUCAAAACCGUUAUGGGAUAUCUAGGGCAAUGCUAAUAUCCCUUUCAUAUAUAGACAAAAAUCACACUAUUUUACCAUGCCAGCUUUUUAUACAGUACAAGCUUUUUUUUGUCAAUCUGAAAGAGGUAAGGGUUAAAAAAAAACAUGGUAAUUUAAAACCCACCUAAAGACCUAGUCAUGAUUCCUGUAUUUUCACAGACCCUGUAACCAAAAUACAGCUAUCAGGUCUGUUAACAGUACGGUUCUCCGCUUCUUUGCAGGUAAAUUAAUUAACACUUCCAUUGUUUAACGGCACCCCCCUACCCUCCCAAUUUGUCAGUUACCCACUGAUAUGUAUAAAAGGGCAUACCUGCAAAUAAGUUGUAAAUAAGGGGCUGUUUGAAACAUUGCCUUAUCUUUUUUACAGAGCUAUAAUUUGUUUUAUGUGUUACUCUGGAAACUUGGCUACAGAUUAAAUACAACUCUUAGUUUUCAACAGUUGCCACUGGUCUUCAAAACAUUCAGUUCAUCUUUCCUCUUUUCCUCUUUACUACACUCAUCCCUCCCCUCCCCUCCCUCUAUCCCUUGUUUCUGCUGCCCUCCUCUACUACUCGUUCUUAAGGAUGACUUGCUUGAGCAGCGUGAUCAGGGGCUUGUGGGAUUGCUGGGCAUAUGGCUUCAUGAAGCCACCGUAGCGCUUGACAGCGGUUGGGCUACCCCAGCGGAAGUGACCCAUCCGAUAGGACCCAUCCUUCUUAUCCUGCAGCCCCGUCCCAGUGAGGGUUCUGGGGACUACCUUAGUCUGAGCCUUGGCCCCCUGGUUCCCCAGAGCUCCCGCCAUCUUGUCCUCCCAGCUGCUCAGCUGCCUGCGUGCCUGCAGGGGAAAGGUGCCCUCGGAGGAGUCCCCCCCUUCCAGACUGGAGGCAUAGACUUUGAUGGUGCGGCGUUUGCGCCCAAUGGGUUUGCCCCAGCGGAAGUGCUCCAUGGAGUAGGAGUGUCUUUUGUCGCUGUGGGACUCAGGGUCAGCAUCCAGGGCUCUCUCUCCAGAGGUCAGGGCUGCCAACAGGAUGCCCAGGGAGAGGCUGUCCUCAGUGGACUGCUGGGCAGCUGAUCUGGGCUCUGGGGAUUCAUCCUGGAGCCCAGACCUGAACAGGUGGAUGCACUCC
This 1631-nucleotide long non-coding RNA is filed under the name Salmo salar (Atlantic salmon). Its description in RNAcentral is "lncRNA (ENSSSAG00000109560.1, ENSSSAG00000121739.1)". The record is from RNAcentral. Lineage: Eukaryota; Metazoa; Chordata; Actinopteri; Salmoniformes; Salmonidae.